This 522-nucleotide ribosomal RNA is filed under the name uncultured bacterium. Its description in RNAcentral is "bacterial SSU rRNA". It matches the Rfam family "Bacterial small subunit ribosomal RNA", at positions 772 to 1299 of the family's 1533-position model. The record is from RNAcentral.
ACUGAAUAGAUACCCCGGUAGUCCACGCUGUAAACGAUGAUUACUCGAUGUUGGCGAUACACAGUCAGCGUCUGAGCGAAAGCAAUAAGUAAUCCACCUGGGGAGUACGAUCGCAAGAUUGAAACUCAAAGGAAUUGACGGGGGCCCGCACAAGCGGAGGAGCAUGUGGUUUAAUUCGAUGAUACGCGAGGAACCUUACCUGGGCUCGAACGUAAGAUGACUGUAGGUGAAAGCUUACAUCUCUUCGGAGCAUUUUACGAGGUGCCGCAUGGUUGUCGUCAGCUCGUGCCGAGAGGUGUCGGGUUAAGUCCCAUAACGAGCGCAACCCCUACCUUUAGUUGCCAACAGGUCAUGCUGGGGACUCUAAAGGAACUGCCUACGCAAGUAGUGAGGAAGGCGGGGAUGACGUCAAAUCAGCACGGCCCUUACGUCCAGGGCUACACACGUGCUACAAUGGCCGAUACAGAGGGCAGCUACCUGGUGACAGGAUGCAAAUCUCCAAAGUCGGUCUCAGUUCGGAUC